AAGUCGUAACAAGGUAACCGUAGGUGAACCUGCGGUUGGAUCAUUACCAAAUCCAAACCCGGUGCCUUGGGGUAUGCCGGGCUGCGUUUGCGCGUGGGCUCGUGCCCUCUCCCGUCGCCUUUGCUGGCGCGCGGGGGUGUGUGCGUGUCUUCGUGUUCUCGUGUGCCCGUGUGUGCUCCCUGGUGCCAUCCACCCCAUGUGCAAUGUCUUCAUUGGUGGUGCGGUGUGCGCGCGCUUGCGCGUGUGCGCCGUGCUUCCAUUCACAACCAUGUGUUCUCCAAUCACCUGACGUUUACCCUCGUGGACCUAGCCGUCCAUUAGAGCUUAACGAAAAAACAACUUUUGACAACGGAUCUCUUGGCUCUC
This 366-nucleotide unclassified non-coding RNA is filed under the name fungal sp. RNAcentral's name for it is "partial internal transcribed spacer region". The stretch from base 1 to 46 matches the Rfam family "Eukaryotic small subunit ribosomal RNA", at positions 1786 to 1831 of the family's 1831-position model. Lineage: Eukaryota; Fungi. The record is from RNAcentral.